RNAcentral lists this ribosomal RNA (499 nucleotides) under uncultured bacterium. RNAcentral describes it as "partial 16S ribosomal RNA". It matches the Rfam family "Bacterial small subunit ribosomal RNA", at positions 28 to 507 of the family's 1533-position model. The record is from RNAcentral.
GACGAACGCUGGCGGCGUGCCUAAUACAUGCAAGUCGAGCGAAGUUUUUCUGGUGCUUGCACCGGAAAAACUUAGCGGCGAACGGGUGAGUAACACGUAAAGAACCUGCCUCAUAGACUGGGACAACUAUUGGAAACGAUAGUUAAUACCGGAUAAUAGCAUUAACUGCAUGGUUGAUGUUUAAAAGUUGGUUUUGCUAACACUAUGAGAUGGCUUUGCGGUGCAUUAGCUAGUUGGUGGGGUAAAGGCCUACCAAGGCGACGAUGCAUAGCCGACCUGAGAGGGUGAUCGGCCACACUGGGACUGAGACACGGCCCAGACUCCUACGGGAGGCAGCAGUAGGGAAUCUUCCGCAAUGGGCGAAAGCCUGACGGAGCAACGCCGCGUGAGUGAAGAAGGAUUUCGGUUCGUAAAGCUCUGUUGUUAGGGAAGAAUGAUUGUGUAGUAACUAUACACAGUAGAGACGGUACCUAACCAGAAAGCCACGGCUAACUACGUG